RNAcentral lists this ribosomal RNA (620 nucleotides) under Mucor sp. Its description in RNAcentral is "eukaryotic LSU rRNA". The stretch from base 258 to 410 matches the Rfam family "5.8S ribosomal RNA". Lineage: Eukaryota; Fungi; Mucoromycota; Mucoromycetes; Mucorales; Mucoraceae. The record is from RNAcentral.
UUUCCGUAGGUGAACCUGCGGAAGGAUCAUUAAAUAAUUUAGAUGGCCUUUGCUAGUUUUCUAGCGAAUGGUUCAUUCUUUUUUACUGUGAACUGUUUUAAUUUUUCAGCGUCUGAGGAAUGUCUUUUAGCCAUAGGGAUAGGCUACUAGAAUGUUAACCGAGCUGAAAGUCAGGCUUAGGCCUGGUAUCCUAUUAAUUAUUUACCAAAAGAAUUCAGUAUUAUAAUUGUAACAUAAGCGUAAAAAACUUAUAAAACAACUUUUAACAACGGAUCUCUUGGUUCUCGCAUCGAUGAAGAACGUAGCAAAGUGCGAUAACUAGUGUGAAUUGCAUAUUCAGUGAAUCAUCGAGUCUUUGAACGCAACUUGCGCUCAAUGGUAUUCCAUUGAGCACGCCUGUUUCAGUAUCAAAAACACCCCACAUUCAUAAUUUUGUUGUGAAUGGAAAUGAGAGUUUCGGCUUUAUUGCUGAAUUCUUUAAAAUUAUUAGGCCUGAACUAUUGUUCUUUCUGCCUGAACAUUUUUUUAAUAUAAAGGAAUGCUCUAGUAAAAAGACUAUCUCUGGGGCCUCCCAAAAUAAAUCAUUCUUAAAUUUGAUCUGAAAUCAGGCGGGAUUACCC